GGUUGGGUGGCGCAAUGGUAGCGCGUUGCUUUCCGGUUCUCACCUUGGAAUAUUGGCAAAGGUUCUGGGUUCGAGUCCCAGCUUGAUCG
Molecule: transfer RNA, 89 nt
Filed under: Cephalotrichum gorgonifer
Lineage: Eukaryota; Fungi; Ascomycota; Sordariomycetes; Microascales; Microascaceae
Description: transfer RNA-Arg(CCG)
Rfam family: tRNA
About the family: Transfer RNA (tRNA) molecules are approximately 80 nucleotides in length. Their secondary structure includes four short double-helical elements and three loops (D, anti-codon, and T loops).
Source: RNAcentral